This 253-nucleotide ribosomal RNA is filed under the name uncultured bacterium. Its description in RNAcentral is "partial 16S ribosomal RNA". It matches the Rfam family "Bacterial small subunit ribosomal RNA", at positions 524 to 776 of the family's 1533-position model. The record is from RNAcentral.
GACAGAGGGUGCAAGCGUUGUUCGGAAUCAUUGGGCGUAAAGGGCGCGUAGGCGGUCUUAUAAGUCAGGUGUGAAAGCCCAGGGCUCAACCCUGGAAGUGCACUUGAUACUGCAAGACUUGAAUCUCAUAGAGGGUGGUGGAAUUCCCAGUGUAGAGGUGAAAUUCGUAGAUAUUGGGAGGAACACCAGUGGCGAAGGCGGCCACCUGGAUGAAGAUUGACGCUGAGGCGCGAAAGCGUGGGUAGCAAACAGG